AUUAUGAACUUUCUUGGAAGACACAGCAAGAUUACAAUGUCUUAGCAUCAUUUCCCCUAAAAGAUCACAAUUACAUUUACCUAAUUUUAUGGCAUUUUCUCUUUACAGGAUGAGGAGCUCAAAGAAACAAUAGAGAAAGCCAGGGAAAUGGAAGAGCAGUAUGGUCACUACUUCGACCUGAUCAUCAUCAACCAGGAUGUGGACCGUGCCUACCAUCAGCUGCUACAUGAGAUUAACAUGUUGGAAAGGGAGCCACAGUGGGUUCCAGCAGCAUGGCUUGCACAUGACCAGUGAUAGGUACUGUAGUGCUUCUAUGGUGCCAAAUUUUUACCUGUGCGCUUCCCUCUAGCCAAAGGCAGAAUUCUCCUCAGUGCUGCUGCUCUCAAGAUACGUUCCUUGUGUGGAAGUCUCACUUGAAGGGCAGCUGAGUUUUUACAAUCAAUGAUGUGAUGGCUUGAUGCUACAAUCCAUUGUCUGGUGAACACUAGGUGCAUGAAAUCAGUUGACUGUGUUAAGGUUGUGUUUUGAAAAUGGAUUAUCACAUGGAGUCUAACCGAAGGAAUUGAAAGAAAAAUACAGAGCAGAUAAUUGCUUUGAUAAAUGAUUGGACAUUAUAUUAACAUUGUAAAUUGACUUUCAUUCUAAUACCUCCCCUGCCCUGUGUGGACAUUUAACUUAGGUAAUAAAUCUAGACCAUGGCUCCAUUUACAAAAGGUGGGAAGUUUAAGCCCAUUGUAACGGGAUAAAAUCAGGCAGACAAAUGAUGGAAGACAAACCAGACAAAAACUGUGGUGUAAAAAGUAUUAAGCAAUCCACCUUUUGUUGAGGUGGCUCAAGUGUGUGUGAUACUAGGCAGAAUCUAGAAACACGUUAUUACCCUGUAAAGAAGACCCUCAAUCCUUCUUGAGAGUUUUAAUCUCUUUUUUGUUAUUUACAUUUUCUAUUUCUUUUAUUUUCCUGUACAUAAAAUUCUUUUACAUUAUGUUUGAAAAUUUAUAUACAAUAUAUCUAUAUCAUGUUUAUCAAACCUGCAGAUUUUUUUUUUUCUCUUUUUUUUUUUCCUUUUCUUUUCUUUCUUUUUUUUUUUGAUAAGUGUCCCUACUUUUCAAAUUUAAAACAUAAUAUAAAGGCUCAUUUCACCCCCAUGUUUAAAGUGUUUUAAUGUCAUACAGAUAACUUUCUAUUGACUUCAUAUUAAAUGUGAGAUUAAUGAAAGUAUUUUAUCAAUUUUCAAGAUAGCUGGAAGCAUUUGCUCAGUUACUAUAAAAGUUUUUAUUGGCAAUGUGCAAUAAGAUGAGACUUUUAAAAAAACAAUUAUUCUGAUCAAUUAGCAUGUACUUCAGAUAGUUUCCUUUGAUCCCUUAAAUGUUUGUAAUGUACAUAGAGGUGCCAUAUUACAUCAAAGUUGUGCUUGUAAAUCAAACCUGUGACUCCUGAUCUGUUUGCAGUGUUAAGCAGCAAUAAUAAUAAUACCUACAUACAUCCAAAAAAGUGUGUUGCAAAAGUCUUCACUAUUAUUUCCGUAAGGCUUUAGGAUUUAGCUCUGCCGUUCACAGAGACAAAUAAUCUGAGUGUCUUAUUAUUCAGAAUGAAUAUUGUUUACCAUAUAUUCAUCCCUGAGAAGCCUAUACAGUGAAGUCUCUCAAAAGCACAAGUAUGUGAGAAGUCAAGUUUGUGAUGCUGACAAUAUUGCAAAUACACACAUGAAACUGUAACUUCAGUAUUCCAGUGGUGUUUCCCCAAUUUGUGUAAUUCCUGUAUAUACUGUUAUGAUCUUCCUAUGUUCACUUUGUUGUAAGUAGAAGCAUAUAUGCCUCAUUAUAAUGAACCAUUAAAUGAUUAUGAUUCCUAAAAAUAAAUGUGUAUACCAGC
Penaeus indicus is the source of this 1872-nucleotide long non-coding RNA. RefSeq lists it as uncharacterized. The record is from RefSeq and is a predicted model, not a curated record. NCBI's taxonomy places the organism in Eukaryota, Metazoa, Arthropoda, Malacostraca, Decapoda, Penaeidae. The transcript has 2 exons.